GUUGGACUUCAAGAAGCGCAUCUGGGCAACCAGUUUGCCUUCUACCAGCCCUAGGCUGUUACUGUGAGAAAAUUAGAGUGUUUCAAGCAGGCUUUUGCAGGAAUACAUUAGCAUGGAAUAACGAAUGUGUCUACAAUUUGGUUGAUUGUAGGUUACAAUUAAUAGGGACAGUUGGGGGGCAUUAGUAUUUAAUAGUCAGAGGUGAAAUUCUUGGAUUUGUUAAAGACUAACGUAUGCGAAAGCAUUUGCCAAGGAUGUUUUCAUUAAUCAAGAACGAAAGAUAGGGGAUCAAAGACGAUCAGAUACCGUCGUAGUCCUAUCUAUAAACUAUGCCGACUAGGGAUUAGUGCGGUCAGUACCGCAUUAGUACCUUAUGAGAAAUCAAAGUCUUUGGGUUCUGGGG
RNAcentral lists this ribosomal RNA (403 nucleotides) under uncultured eukaryote. RNAcentral's name for it is "SSU rRNA". It matches the Rfam family "Eukaryotic small subunit ribosomal RNA", at positions 694 to 1119 of the family's 1831-position model. The record is from RNAcentral.